This 29-nucleotide non-coding RNA is filed under the name Mus musculus (house mouse). The record is from RNAcentral. Lineage: Eukaryota; Metazoa; Chordata; Mammalia; Rodentia; Muridae.
UACUUCUGUAUCUUAAAGCAAAUCACACC